AGCUUUGUGCAGUGGCCAUUUCAUAGCCAGUGAAGUUUAUCUGAGGCAGUUGCUAAUUGAAAACUUUUCUUUUUUUUUUUGAGACGGAGUCUCACUCUGUCGCCCAGGCUGGAUGGAGUGCAGUGGCGCAAUCUUGGCUCACUGC
Molecule: small nuclear RNA, 145 nt
Filed under: Nomascus leucogenys (northern white-cheeked gibbon)
Lineage: Eukaryota; Metazoa; Chordata; Mammalia; Primates; Hylobatidae
Description: U4 spliceosomal RNA
Rfam family: U4 spliceosomal RNA
About the family: U4 small nuclear RNA (U4 snRNA) is a component of the major U2-dependent spliceosome. The structure of U4 snRNA from yeast and human has been reported.
Source: Rfam by way of RNAcentral